Molecule: non-coding RNA, 343 nt
Organism: Lupinus albus (white lupine)
Lineage: Eukaryota; Viridiplantae; Streptophyta; Magnoliopsida; Fabales; Fabaceae
Source: the annotation of a GenBank genome assembly
AUGAAGAGGAACGCUUUGAGGAGUAGUGCACCCUUAGAGUGAAAGAGGAGACCGGAGAAGAGACCCUAAGGUUGGAGGAGACGGCGGAGAACGCAACUGAGCUUUAGUGCAAGCAGUAGCGGCUACUCAGGUGAGGGAGCAGCAUUAACCUUUGUGGUAUUAGAAUCUUAGCAUUGGAAACUCCAACGACACUCACUAGUUGGAUGGUUUCGGUGAAUUAACACGAUUAAACGGAAAUAUCAUGAAUUUCCUAUUUAACCGCGUUAAUCUUACGGUUGUGGAUAAUAUGUUGAUUAUGGAAUUGUGACCUGCCCUUCGUGGUACGGAAUUGUGACCUGCCCUU